RNAcentral lists this ribosomal RNA (229 nucleotides) under uncultured bacterium. Its description in RNAcentral is "partial 16S ribosomal RNA". It matches the Rfam family "Bacterial small subunit ribosomal RNA", at positions 568 to 796 of the family's 1533-position model. The record is from RNAcentral.
CGCGCAGGCGGCCUGAUAAGUCAGAUGUGAAAGUCCAUGGCUCAACCGUGGAAGUGCAUUUGAAACUGUCUGGCUUGAGUAUCGGAGGGGAGUGUGGAAUUCCCGGUGUAGAGGUGAAAUUCGUAGAGAUCGGGAGGAACACCGGUGGCGAAGGCGACACUCUGGACGAAUACUGACGCUGAGGCGCGAAAGCGUGGGGAGCAAACAGGAUUAGAUACCCUGGUAGUCC